AAACCUGCAAAAGAUGGCAGAGCUUUAGGAUACUGCCAUAGCAGUCUGUAAAUUCACUCCCUCAAGUCUUCUAAGGUAUCUAUAAUGCCGGAGUCCUAAAGUCCUAAUGAUCACGAAUUACGGGCUCAAAGACGACACUUACUUAAGGUAAUGAUUUCAUGUUGAUGUUCUCUUUUUCUUGGGUCAGUAAAGUUCUUUCAGGAGGAUAAAUUCAUGGUGAGUCUACUUGUACAUAUGGUCCUGAAAUAAGAAGGCCUGUAUCUUUCUAAAGUAGACCGAAGUAGCCAUAUUACCAUAUUUUUUUCUUUUUAAGAAAAUGGCUCUUAGUUUUGAAGUAAACUUGGAAAAUUAGUGAUUAUAUUAACAUUUAGAAUCUCUCAGUUGCAGAUUUGAGGGUUUUGGCUUGUCUUUUUUUUUUUUUAAUCACAACCACCAAAAAUUGACAUUUCCGUUUGCAAUAAAUCUUUCUUCUUUUAUCCUACACAAUAAAGCAUACUGGAUUGCAAAGAAUAAAUAGUAUUAUCACAGGGAUGUCUGUAGAUCUAUGCUUUACUUAGAAAAGUACUUUGAGGGCAGGGUUUUAGUAUCAUUCAUUGUUUUAUCCAUAGUGCCUAGAAUAGUGCUGGACCCUCUAUAACAUAUUUGUUGACUGGCUAUUACUAACAAAUUAGGAGCAAUACAAUUGAUUGCAUUGUAUCUCAACAGCUCUCAAAACUGCUGUUUUAUGGCUUUUUUUUUUUUUUCCAGUGUGACAGUAGUCUUUAAAAUUCUGGGCAAAUAAUUAGAUAGAAAUAAUUAAGAACAAAAGCAAAUUGAUGAGGGGAAAAAAAAAAACUAUAGAGGAAGCCACUAAGCACUAAGUAUGUUUUCGGGGGUGCAUAGGGAGAAAGAAUGUGGUUUCUCAGUUUGUUCUGUGUAAGUUUGUCUUUUUGCUGACCUCUGAGACAUCCUUCACAUCAUACAACUUCCACAUAGAGAAGCCAAAGGAUAAAAUAUAACCUACAUCUCUAAUAGAAUCUGUAGGAUGCCACCCUGCUCUCCCCAUCCCAAUAUAUAUACAGUCUUAAAAAUAAUUUAUUUCCACAGGGAAAUAGUUCCACUAGGCAGAGUUUCAGCAGAAAAAGAAGGGCCAGGCCUACCCGAAGAGAGAAUACUCUGAAAAUGUUUUACCGUUUACCGCUGUGCCGCCACCCUAUCAACGAGCACUGUCCUCUCUUUCGCAGCAGUCACAUGUUAAGAGGCCAAACACGGUGGUCGGCAAAGCCAGCUCCCCACUGGGCGAGCCACAGCUUACUAUGCGGCAGCCUCAGCAGAUGGGGAGGAAACAGCCUCUCUGGUCUGAAGUCAGAGUUCGCUGGCAGCGCUGCCCUUACCCAUACCUUCGCGAUGAAGAUCCCUGCAUCCAUGAUGGCCUUGAUGUGCCUUAACCAGCCCGAGUUCUCCAGUCCCCACAGAAAGUCACUCAUUGAGGGAGAUUUCAGUUCACACACUGCAAGCUCCAGCUCUCAUCUCAGGGUCCUGUAAUCAAGUCCCAAGCCCCCAGGUCCUGCCCUGCGCUCAGCGUGGAGUCUGUUGUCCCUCUCCCUCCUCCGCUCGUGCUCCCGUGCCUUCUCUCUCUCGCAAGUAAAGAAGUAAAAUCUUUAAAAAAGAGAAAGUGCCUCAAAAGACAUCUGUCUACAAUCUCCUUGUGGAAAAUCCCCGUCCAUGCAUUUCAAUAAGUGAAACGGGCUGGGUCAGAGGGUCCUAACCACGUAUUGCCAAACCGCUCUCCGAAGGAGUUGGCCCAGUCUGCAUCCUCACCAACAGGGUGGGAGAAUUCCUUUCUGGUAGUGCCAAUGCUGUCAGUUUGGUCACCGUUAUUUCUCUAAGAUUUAGGAUGAGAUUUCUUCUAACGAUUCAAAUGUCCAAAGUCCAAAUAUUUGCAACCAGAGGCAUCAAACUGUAGUCACAGACCCGACACAGCUGGAAGGACCCGGAGAAAUUAUCAGUCCGAGCUUCUCCUUUUAUGGCAGACUACCUAAAAGGAAGAGAAUCCCCUACGUAUCAUCUGCUGGAACAGGAUCUGGCUGUAACAUGGGUUGUAUCGUUGAUCUCCGGGGCAGAUUUGCUGAUCUGGUAUCUGAGAGAGACGACUUCACCGCCGCCCCGCCCACCAGUACCCCACAGCUGCACUUCGGUCAGGAGCUCGGGACUGCUGGAGGUCACGGGGACAACCAGGGCGCUGAUCUUACUUACACCAGGAAAACAUCAAGUUAAGGGAACCAGGCCAUGAAUCACAGCAUUUGAUGACAUGAGGCUCAGAGAAGCAUUGAAAACUGCCAGGGUCUGAGUGCCCACAUAAUGGGUUCACGAUUCAGGGCUGCAAAGACAUGCACAGGAACGGCAACACUUACUUUGGGCCGGGUGUCCACGACGUAAAUGAAGUCGCUUUCCGGAUUGGCUUUCCUGAUGGCCUGGAGCAUCUGCUCGUCCUCGAGGCACCG
Molecule: long non-coding RNA, 2483 nt
Organism: Mirounga angustirostris (Northern elephant seal)
Lineage: Eukaryota; Metazoa; Chordata; Mammalia; Carnivora; Phocidae
Exons: 7
Source: RefSeq, a predicted model, not a curated record